RNAcentral lists this ribosomal RNA (1213 nucleotides) under uncultured prokaryote. RNAcentral describes it as "partial 16S ribosomal RNA". It matches the Rfam family "Bacterial small subunit ribosomal RNA", at positions 137 to 1384 of the family's 1533-position model. The record is from RNAcentral.
UAAGGAAUAGCCUUUGGAAACGAAGAGUAAUACCUUAUACGCCCUUCGGGGGAAAGAUUUAUCGGUAAAGGAUCGGCCCGCGGUAGAUUAGAUAGUUGGUGGGUUAAUGGCCUGCCAAGUCUACGAUCUAUAGCUGGUUUGAGAGGAUGAUCAGCAACACUGGGACUGAGACACGGCCCAGACUCCUACGGGAGGCAGCAGUGGGGAAUCUUAGACAAUGGGCGAAAGCCUGAUCUAGCCAUGCCGCGUGAGUGAAGAAGGCCUUAGGGUCGUAAAACUCUUUCGCCAGAGAUGAUAAUGACAGUAUCUGGUAAAGAAACCCCGGCUAACUCCGUGCCAGCAGCCGCGGUAAUACGGAGGGGGUUAGCGUUGUUCGGAAUUACUGGGCGUAAAGCGUACGUAGGCGGAUCGGAAAGUAUAGGUUGAAAUCCCAGGGCUCAACCCUGGAACUGCCUUAUAAACUCCCGGUCUUGAGUUCGAGAGAGGUGAGUGGAAUUCCAAGUGUAGAGGUGAAAUUCGUAGAUAUUUGGAGGAACACCAGUGGCGAAGGCGGCUCACUGGCUCGAUACUGACGCUGAGGUACGAAAGUGUGGGGAGCAAACAGGAUUAGAUACCCUGGUAGUCCACACCGUAAACGAUGAAUGCCAGUCGUCGGAUAGCAUGCUAUUCGGUGACACACCUAACGGAUUAAGCAUUCCGCAUGGGGAGUACGGUCGCAAGAUUAAAACUCAAAGGAAUUGACGGGGGCCCGCGCAAGCGGUGGAGCAUGUGGUUUAAUUCGAAGCAACGCGCAGAACCUUACCAGCCCUUGACAUACCAAUCGCGGUUAGUGGAGACACUUUCCUUCAGUUCGGCUGGAUUGGAUACAGGUGCUACAUGGCUGUCGUCAGCUCGUGUCGUGAGAUGUUGGGUUAAGUCCCGCAACGAGCGCAACCCUCAUCCUUAGUUGCCAUCAUUUAGUUGGGCACUCUAGGGAAACUGCCGGUGAUAAGCCGGAGGAAGGUGGGGAUGACGUCAAGUCCUCAUGGCCCUUAUGGGCUGGGCUACACACGUGCUACAAUGGCGGUGACAGAGGGCAGCCACUCCGCGAGGAGGAGCUAAUCCCUAAAAACCGUCUCAGUCCGGAUUGUUCUCUGCAACUCGAGAGCAUGAAGUUGGAAUCGCUAGUAAUCGUGGAUCAGCAUGCCACGGUGAAUACGUUCCCGGGCCUUGU